This 422-nucleotide ribosomal RNA is filed under the name uncultured Clostridium sp. Its description in RNAcentral is "bacterial SSU rRNA". It matches the Rfam family "Bacterial small subunit ribosomal RNA", at positions 355 to 792 of the family's 1533-position model. Lineage: Bacteria; Bacillati; Bacillota; Clostridia; Eubacteriales; Clostridiaceae. The record is from RNAcentral.
UGGGGAAUAUUGCACAAUGGGCGCAAGCCUGAUGCAGCAACGCCGCGUGAGGGAAGACGGUCUUCGGAUUGUAAACCUUUGUCUUUGGUGAAGAAGAUAAUGACGGUACUUGAGGAGGAAGCCCCGGCUAACUACGUGCCAGCAGCCGCGGUAAUACGUAGGGGGCUAGCGUUAUCCGGAAUUACUGGGCGUAAAGGGUGCGUAGGUGGUUUCUUAAGUCAGAGGUGAAAGGCUACGGCUCAACCGUAGUAAGCCUUUGAAACUGGGAAACUUGAGUGCAGGAGAGGAGAGUGGAAUUCCUAGUGUAGCGGUGAAAUGCGUAGAUAUUAGGAGGAACACCAGUUGCGAAGGCGGCUCUCUGGACUGUAACUGACACUGAGGCACGAAAGCGUGGGGAGCAAACAGGAUUAGAUACCCUGGUA